Molecule: non-coding RNA, 1614 nt
Organism: Podarcis lilfordi (Lilford's wall lizard)
Lineage: Eukaryota; Metazoa; Chordata; Lepidosauria; Squamata; Lacertidae
Source: the annotation of a GenBank genome assembly
GGUGCAUUGCUUGAAGAGGUGCAGUUGCGACUUGACCUCGAGGAGCAACACAUUGCACGCGGUGUGGUGGCCUUUCUGAGCUUUUUAAAGAGUUUGCUGGAUUUUUGAAGCUUUUCCAAAACUUCUUUUGCAGCUGUUUGGUAAGUUAAACUUUUAAAACUUUUUUUGGGUUUUUUGGAUUUUGGGUUGGGGUGUUUAGAAUUCAAGGACUUGGUGUUGGGGAGGGGUUUGCAAGAAUCUGGGAGUUUGUGUGGUUUUUUUCUGCAUUUUUAUGGUUUUCUGUGACCAUUGGGCCAUUUUUUUUUUUUUUUUAAAUAUCUGGGUUUUGAAUUUUUGAAUUUCUGUGUGCUGGGUGGCUGGGGGAACAGCUGGGGAGGGGUUUGCAGGAAUCUGGGAGCUUGUGUAGUUUUUUUUUUUUUUGAAUUUUUAUGGUUUUCUGUGACCAUUGGGCCAUGUUGUUUUUUUUUGGAAAAAAUUUCUGGGUUUUGAAUUUCUGUGUGCUGGGUGGCUGGGGGAACAGCUGGGGAGGGGUUUGCAGGAAUCUGGGAGCUUGUGUGGUUUUUUUUGAAUUUUUAUGGUUUUCUGUGACCAUUGGGCCAUGUUUUUUUUUUUGAAAAAUUUUCUGGGUUUUGAAUUUCUGUGUGCUGGGUGGCUGGGGGAACAGCUGGGGAGGGGUUUGCAGGAAUCUGGGAGCUUGUGUGGUUUUUUUUUUUUGAAUUUUUAUGGUUUUCUGUGACCAUUGGGCCAUGUUGUUUUUUUUUGAAAAAAAUUUCUGGGUUUUGAAUUUCUGUGUGCUGGGUGGCUGGGGGAACAGCUGGGGAGGGGUUUGCAGGAAUCUGGGAGCUUGUGGGGUUUUUUUUUGAAUUUUUAUGGUUUUCUGUGACCAUUGGGCCAUGUUUUUUUUUUUGAAAAAUUUUCUGGGUUUUGAAUUUCUGUGUGCUGGGUGGCUGGGGGAACAGCUGGGGAGGGGUUUGCAGGAAUCUGGGAGCUUGUGUGGUUUUUUUUUUGAAUUUUUAUGGUUUUCUGUGACCAUUGGGCCAUGUUGUUUUUUUUUGAAAAAAUUUUCUGGGUUUUGAAUUUCUGUGUGCUGGGUGGCUGGGGGAACAGCUGGGGAGGGGUUUGCAGGAAUCUGGGAGCUUGUGUGGUUUUUUUUUGAAUUUUUAUGGUUUUCUGUGACCAUUGGGCCAUGUUGUUUUUUUUGAAAAAAAUUUCUGGGUUUUGAAUUUCUGUGUGCUGGGUGGCUGGGGGAACAGCUGGGGAGGGGUUUGCAAGAAUCUGGGAGCUUGUGUGGUUUUUUUUUGAAUUUUUAUGGUUUUCUGUGACCAUUGGGCCAUGUUUGUUUUUUUGUAAAAAAUUUCUGGGUUUUGAAUUUCUGUGUGCUGGGUGGCUGGGGGAACAGUUGAGGAGGGGUUUGCAACAGUUGGGGAGGGGUUUGCAACAGUUGGGGAGGGGCUGGGGAACAGUUGAGGUUUUUGAAGACUUUGGUGAUUUUUAAAGCUUUCCCAAAACUUCUUUUGCAGCCAUUUGAGGAUUUUGAAGACUUUGGUGAUUUGCAGCCAUUUCGUAAGUUAAACUUUUAAAACUUUUUUGGGGGUUUUUGGAUUUUGGGUUGGG